GGCAGAGGUGCCGAGCGUUAGGCGGAAUCACUGGGCUUAAAGCGUGUGUAGGCGGGCGGGCAAGUACCUUGUGAAAUCCCACGGCUCAACCGUGGAACGGCUGGGUAUACUGCCUGUCUUGAGCCAACUAGGGGCGAGCGGAACAGACGGUGGAGCGGUGAAAUGCGUAGAUAUCGUCUGGAACGCCGAAGGUGAAAACAGCUCGCUGGGGUUGUGCUGACGCUGAGACACGAAAGCCAGGGGAGCGAACGGG
RNAcentral lists this ribosomal RNA (253 nucleotides) under uncultured bacterium. Its description in RNAcentral is "partial 16S ribosomal RNA". It matches the Rfam family "Bacterial small subunit ribosomal RNA", at positions 524 to 776 of the family's 1533-position model. The record is from RNAcentral.